Molecule: transfer RNA, 73 nt
Filed under: Pteropus alecto (black flying fox)
Lineage: Eukaryota; Metazoa; Chordata; Mammalia; Chiroptera; Pteropodidae
Rfam family: tRNA
About the family: Transfer RNA (tRNA) molecules are approximately 80 nucleotides in length. Their secondary structure includes four short double-helical elements and three loops (D, anti-codon, and T loops).
Source: Rfam by way of RNAcentral
GAUUCCAUAGUGUAGCGGUCAGCACGUCUGCUUUACACGCAGAAGGUCCUGGGUUCAUGCCCCAGUGGAGCCA